This 264-nucleotide unclassified non-coding RNA is filed under the name plant metagenome. RNAcentral's name for it is "partial contains small subunit ribosomal RNA and internal transcribed spacer 1". The stretch from base 1 to 46 matches the Rfam family "Eukaryotic small subunit ribosomal RNA", at positions 1786 to 1831 of the family's 1831-position model. The record is from RNAcentral.
AAGUCGUAACAAGGUUUCCGUAGGUGAACCUGCGGAAGGAUCAUUACUGAGAGAGGGCGUCCCGCCCCCGGGGGGUUUCGGCCUCCCAACUCUUCAACCCUGUGUGAACGUACCUUUGUUGCUUUGGCGGGCUGCGGCGCUGACUCCCACCGGGGUCGCCCGCGCCAGUGGCGCUAACCCGCAUAUGCUGGACCAUAAGCUCCCGUCAGAGGCCCAUCCAAACCCUUUGAAUUAGUGUCGUCCGAGUACAAAACAAUAGUAAAA